UUCCGCUGUGAGGCCACAGAAGGCAAGACUCAGGGAUGGACUCCACCAUGGCCUGGUCCCCUCUCCUGCUCAGCCUCCUGGCUCACUGCACAGGCUCCUGGGUCCAGGCUGUGCUGACUCAGCCACCCUCAGUGUCUGGGAACCCAGGACAGACUGUCACCAUCUCCUGCACUGGAAGCAGCACCAACAUCGGGCGUGGUUCCCAUGUCGGCUGGCACCAACAGGUCCCAGGAAAACCCCCUAAAACCGUCAUCCUUAGUACUAGCAGUAGACCCUUGGGGAUCCCUGACCGCUUCUCUGGAUCCAAGUCUGGCAGCAUGGGCACCCUGACCAUCACUGGGCUCCAGGCUGAGGACGAGGCCAACUAUUACUGCCAGUCCUAUGACAGCAGUACCGGAGGUCCCACAAUGCUGCGGGGCUGUGGGGAACCUGCAGAGCUGCGGGAGGAACGGAUGCUGCUGCUGGCACGGCCUGCAGCUCUGGAGCAGCUCCGGAGGCGGACGUUCCUCUGGUUCUGGGGCGGCCCCUACAUGUGCACUGGCUUCUGCCCCUGCACCUGGCACCUGUGGAUGUGUAAGUGCUGA
Non-coding RNA from Phyllostomus discolor (pale spear-nosed bat), 584 nucleotides. The record is from the annotation of a RefSeq genome assembly. Lineage: Eukaryota; Metazoa; Chordata; Mammalia; Chiroptera; Phyllostomidae.